RNAcentral lists this unclassified non-coding RNA (746 nucleotides) under uncultured Prochlorococcus sp. RNAcentral's name for it is "partial may contain 16S ribosomal RNA, 16S-23S ribosomal RNA intergenic spacer, and 23S ribosomal RNA". The stretch from base 337 to 409 matches the Rfam family "tRNA". The record is from RNAcentral. Lineage: Bacteria; Bacillati; Cyanobacteriota; Cyanophyceae; Synechococcales; Prochlorococcaceae.
CGCCGAAGGUGGGGCUGAUGACUGGGGUGAAGUCGUAACAAGGUAGCCGUACCGGAAGGUGCGGCUGGAUCACCUCCUAACAGGGAGACAAAACUGAUUAAGAUGUCUGAUUAAAAUAUUAGGCCUUAAUCCUGUCACCUUAGGUCGAUCGGUACCUCAGAUUGAUAGCUACAAAUUAGGAUUAAUUCUUAGUAUUAGUUUUUCAAUUUUAGUUCCUAAACUUGUCUAGGUCACACCCAACAAACUUUCUCCUGGGCUAUUAGCUCAGGCGGUUAGAGCGCACCCCUGAUAAGGGUGAGGUCCCUGGUUCAAGUCCAGGAUGGCCCAUUCGUUGUUGGGGGUAUAGCUCAGUUGGUAGAGCGCCUGCUUUGCAAGCAGGAUGUCAGCGGUUCGAGUCCGCUUACCUCCACUGAUCAACUACCUAAUAACUCAAUUAAUGGAGAUUGUUAUUUGGUCAAUGUGAUUUAGAAAUUGUUCAUCUGAAUGAACCUAGCUUCCUAUCAAUUUUGAUUAUUUUUUAGCUGAUAAGACGCUGGGCUCACUGGUAUUCUAAGGAUUAUCAGUUUAACUCAGUAGAACCUUGACAACUGCAUAGGAAAAACUAGAAAAAUAAAGCAUCUCAUAGAUUCAUAGCAAUAUAUAUUCAAAAUUUUGUAUAUAUGUUUUCUAUGUUCAAUUCUUGAGUUAGAGCAUAAAUUCGUUUAAUAAAAAUGAAUUUAAAUUGGUCAAGCUACAAAGGGCUCACG